Suncus etruscus (white-toothed pygmy shrew) is the source of this 107-nucleotide small nuclear RNA. NCBI's taxonomy places the organism in Eukaryota, Metazoa, Chordata, Mammalia, Eulipotyphla, Soricidae. The record is from RefSeq and is a predicted model, not a curated record.
GUGCUCGCUUCAGCAGCACAUAUACUAAAAUUGGAACAAUACAUAGAAUAUUAGCAUGGUCCCUGAGAAAACAACAGAUGGGAUUUGGAGAAGUUACUUCAUUGUUG